GACGAACGCUGGCGGCGUGCUUAACACAUGCAAGUCGAACGGAAAGGCCCUGCUUGUGUGGGGUGCUCGAGUGGCAAACGGGAGAGUAACACAUGAGUAACCUGCCCUUGACUUUAGGAUAACUUCAAGAAACUGGGGCUAAUACCGAAUACGAGCUCCUGCUGCAUGGUGAGGGUUGGAAAGUUUCCGCGGAUGGAGAUGGACUCGCGGCUUAUCAGCUUGUGUGGUGGGGGAGUGGCUUACCAACGAUUUGACGGGUAGCCGGACAGAUAAGGCGACCGGCCGCAUUGGAACUGAGAUACAGACCACACUCCUACGGGAGGCAGCAGUAGGAGAAUAUUGCGCAAUGAGCGGAAACCUGAUGCAGCAACGCCUCGUGCGAAAUGACUGCCUUCGGGUUGUAAACCGCUUUCGCCUGAGACUAAUCGUGAGUGACCGUAAUGAGUAAAGAAGCACCGGCUAAAUACGUGCCAGCAUCCGCGGUGAUACGUAGGGUGCGAGCGUUGUCCGGAUUUAUUGGGCGUAAAAGGCUCGUAGGUGGUUGAUCGCGUCGGAAGUGAAAUCCCCGAGCUUAACUUGGGAAUUGCAUUCGAUACUGGUUAGCUAGAGUGUGGGAGAGGAUGGUAGAAUUCCAGGUGUAGCGGUGAAAUGCGCAGAGAUCUGGAGGAAUACCGGUGGCGAAGGCAGCCAUCUGGCCUAACACUGACGCUGAGGUGCGAAAGCAUGGGGAGCAAACAGGAUUAGAUACCCUGGUAGUCCAUGCCGUAAACGAUGUCUACUAGCCGUUGGGGCCUUUGAGGCUUUAGUGGCGCAGCUAACGCGAUAAGUAGACCGCCUGGGGAGUACGGUCGCAAGACUAAAACUCAAAUGAAUUGACGGGGGCCCGCACAAGCGGUGGAGCAUGUGGUUUAAUUCGAUGCAACGCGAAGAACCUUACCUGGCCUUGACAUAGUAAGAACUUUCCAGAGAUGGAUUGGUGCCUUCGGGAACUUACAUACAGGUGGUGCAUGGCUGUCGUCAGCUCGUGUCGUGAGAUGUUGGGUUAAGUCCCGCAACGAGCGCAACCCUUUUCCUUAUUUGCCAGCGAGUAAUGUCGGGAACUUUAAGGAUACUGCCAGUGACAAACUGGAGGAAGGUGGGGAUGACGUCAAGUCAUCAUGCCCCUUACGGCCAGGGCUACACACGUGCUACAAUGGUCGGUACAGAGAGUGGCGAGCCUAGCGAUAGGAUGCUAAUCUCAAAAAGCCGGUUUCAGUUCGGAUUGGGGUUUGCAACUUGACCUCAUGAAGUUGGAGUCGCUAGUAAUCGCAGAUCAGCAACGCUGCGGUGAAUACGUUCCCGGGCCU
RNAcentral lists this ribosomal RNA (1346 nucleotides) under uncultured bacterium. RNAcentral describes it as "bacterial SSU rRNA". It matches the Rfam family "Bacterial small subunit ribosomal RNA", at positions 28 to 1381 of the family's 1533-position model. The record is from RNAcentral.